This 64-nucleotide transfer RNA is filed under the name Malaccina sinica. RNAcentral's name for it is "tRNA-Asp". The record is from RNAcentral. Lineage: Eukaryota; Metazoa; Arthropoda; Insecta; Blattodea; Blattellidae.
AAAAAAUUAGUUAAAUAUAUAACAUCAGAAUGUCAAACUGAAAUAAUCAAAUUGAUAUUUUUUA